AUUGAACGCUGGCGGCAUGCCUUACACAUGCAAGUCGAACGGUAACAGAUCUUCGGAUGCUGACGAGUGGCGAACGGGUGAGUAAUAUAUCGGAACGUGCCCAGUCGUGGGGGAUAACGCAGCGAAAGCUGUGCUAAUACCGCAUACGAUCUAUGGAUGAAAGCGGGGGAUCGCAAGACCUCGCGCGAUUGGAGCGGCCGAUAUCAGAUUAGGUAGUUGGUGGGGUAAAGGCCCACCAAGCCAACGAUCUGUAGCUGGUCUGAGAGGACGACCAGCCACACUGGAACUGAGACACGGUCCAGACUCCUACGGGAGGCAGCAGUGGGGAAUUUUGGACAAUGGGCGCAAGCCUGAUCCAGCAAUGCCGCGUGCAGGAUGAAGGCCUUCGGGUUGUAACUGCUUUUGUACGGUAACGAAAGACUCUUUCUAAUAAAGAGGGUCCAUGACGGUACCGUAAGAAUAAGCACCGGCUAACUACGUGCC
Molecule: ribosomal RNA, 483 nt
Filed under: uncultured bacterium
Lineage: Bacteria
Description: bacterial SSU rRNA
Rfam family: Bacterial small subunit ribosomal RNA
Source: RNAcentral